AAAAACCUAAAUCUAAAAAUUUUCAUCUAAAAUUGCUGAGGAAAGGGAGAGCGCCGUUUCCUGUUUCCCAUCCUCUGUCGCCUGCUCAGCCCUUCAGAACCCCAUUUGCUCUGAUUGCGACGAGAGAAACAGGGAUCCAACCGUCACAUGAUGAAGGUAAAUCUCUAUUGUUUCCUUAUUUUGUAUAGAAAAUAGAAAAAAAAUCAAAGAAAACAGUAGAGAAACGCAAAAAGAAAAAAAAAGUAAAAAUAAUUAAUCAACUCCUUUCAACUGUUAAUCGUUCUCUUUUUGUUAUUUCUUUUUUUCAAAUCGGGAUCCCCGAAACAAUACAGAAAAUGGGGUUUUAUAGCCCCAAAAAUACAUCAAUCUUUCUUCUUUUUCUCCUAUUUUCUCUUUGUGCUAUUUUGUUAUUUUCUUUUCUUCUUUUUUUGUUCUUUUGUGUGCUGCAUUGUCUUCGUUUCAUUUGCAGGUACAGUGUACGGAGGCGCGUGGCGUGGAUGUGGUGGCGCACGUGCAAGGGCAGAGCCUGAUUGCGGCGCGAGGGCUUGCUGCAAGCUGCUAGGGUUUUCUGAUUUUGCUUUAGGCUAAUUGAGCUAGGGUAUUGGGCCAUAUUGAUUUUGGGUUUGAUUUUGGGCUGGUAAUUUGGGUUAUUGUAAUUGAGUUAUUUUUGGACUCGGGUUUGAUAUAAUUUGGGUUAUUGGGCUAGGGUGUAUUGGGCUCGGUGAGUCUGAUAGGUUUAGUAUUUGGGUUAAGGACUGAAUUGGGCUUUGAAUCUGUAAGUGGACAUUUAUUUAAUUGAAUUUUUGGUUUAAUUUUAAUAUUUAUAAAAAACUAGGCUGUUAAUAGUGGAUAUUUUAAUUUACUUUAUUUUUUGGUAUUUAUUGGGCCGGGCAAAAUGGGUUAUUACACUUACCAUUGGUUGGGUUUUGCCCAAUUCAGUAAGGGUUUUUUGCCUCCCAACUUUAAGCCCAUGGAAUGAAGGAGAUGAGCUUUUGGUUGAU
Molecule: long non-coding RNA, 1001 nt
Filed under: Gossypium barbadense (sea-island cotton)
Lineage: Eukaryota; Viridiplantae; Streptophyta; Magnoliopsida; Malvales; Malvaceae
Description: long non-coding RNA (GBAR_LNC018573)
Source: RNAcentral